RNAcentral lists this microRNA (22 nucleotides) under Echinops telfairi (small Madagascar hedgehog). Its description in RNAcentral is "Ete-Mir-34-P3c_3p* (star (passenger))". Lineage: Eukaryota; Metazoa; Chordata; Mammalia; Afrosoricida; Tenrecidae. The record is from RNAcentral.
CAGCUAACGUGCAGCUGCUAAC